Long non-coding RNA from Clupea harengus (Atlantic herring), 602 nucleotides. The record is from Ensembl. NCBI's taxonomy places the organism in Eukaryota, Metazoa, Chordata, Actinopteri, Clupeiformes, Clupeidae.
GGCAGAGUUGCUGAGGUUGCAGGAACAGUCCUGCAAAACGCUGCUCAGGUUGGAGAGCCACUCUCUGUGCAAUCCAUUAAGGAGGGGUGGGACCAUCCCUAACCAUCACUCCCUACAGCAGGAGCUCCAGAAUCUUCAGACGGGCGGCGUUGUAGAGGAGGGCGGGGCCUCGGAUCUUCACCCCACCCUCAGGAACAUCAUCCACAGGAUCAAAGCCUACGAGACGGUUGCGUAAUGUAGAGCAACAGCAGCGUGCACUGUGGGCGGGACAUGUGGAGGGGGUGGAGCGUCGUGCUCCAGAGGUGCACUGUUCAGCACUGACCAGCAGGGGGCUCUGUGCCUCCACACACACUGUACUGGAGGCUGAGCUGGAACACACACACACAGCGCUGGAGCACACUCAGACGGCCCUCAUACACUUCAGGACUCAGGUCCAUCAGCUAGAGGCUGAGCUGAGGACAGGACGGCAGCUACACACACACUUCACCUGCACAGACACACACAAAUGUGCACACACACACACAUGUGCCCACACUGACACCGCAAGCCCAGGAAGUCAGACCUCACACACGGCAACUCCAGGAGCUCAAACACCACAGACC